This 484-nucleotide ribosomal RNA is filed under the name uncultured bacterium. RNAcentral describes it as "partial 16S ribosomal RNA". It matches the Rfam family "Bacterial small subunit ribosomal RNA", at positions 30 to 507 of the family's 1533-position model. The record is from RNAcentral.
AUUGAACGCUGGCGGCAGGCCCAACACAUGCAAGUCGAGCGGAUGAAGGGAGCUUGCUCCUGGAUUCAGCGGCGGACGGGUGAGUAAUGCCUAGGAAUCUGCCUGGUAGUGGGGGAUAACGUCCGGAAACGGGCGCUAAUACCGCAUACGUCCUGAGGGAGAAAGUGGGGGAUCUUCGGACCUCACGCUAUCAGAUGAGCCUAGGUCGGAUUAGCUAGUUGGUGGGGUAAAGGCCUACCAAGGCGACGAUCCGUAACUGGUCUGAGAGGAUGAUCAGUCACACUGGAACUGAGACACGGUCCAGACUCCUACGGGAGGCAGCAGUGGGGAAUAUUGGACGAUGGGCGAAAGCCUGAUCCAGCCAUGCCGCGUGUGUGAAGAAGGUCUUCGGAUUGUAAAGCACUUUAAGUUGGGAGGAAGGGCAGUAAGUUAAUACCUUGCUGUUUUGACGUUACCAACAGAAUAAGCACCGGCUAACUUCGUG